RNAcentral lists this ribosomal RNA (305 nucleotides) under uncultured bacterium. Its description in RNAcentral is "bacterial SSU rRNA". It matches the Rfam family "Bacterial small subunit ribosomal RNA", at positions 337 to 637 of the family's 1533-position model. The record is from RNAcentral.
GCCUACGGGGGGCAGCAGGGAAUCUUCCACAAUGGGCGAAAGCCUGAUGGAGCAACGCCGCGUGGGUGAAGAAGGUCUUCGGAUCGUAAAACCCUGUUGUUAGAGAAGAAAGUGCGUGAGAGUAACUGUUCACGUUUCGACGGUAUCUAACCAGAAAGCCACGGCUAACUACGUGCCAGCAGCCGCGGUAAUACGUAGGUGGCAAGCGUUAUCCGGAUUUAUUGGGCGUAAAGAGAACGCAGGCGGUCUUUUAAGUCUGAUGUGAAAGCCUUCGGCUUAACCGGAGUAGUGCAUUGGAAACUGGG